GACGAACGCUGGCGACGUGCCUAAUACAUGCAAGUUGAGCGCUGAAGGUUGGUACUUGUACCAACGGAUGAGCAGCGAACGGGUGAGUAACGCGUGGGGAAUCUGCCUUUGAGCGGGGGACAACAUUUGGAAACGAAUGCUAAUACCGCAUAAAAACUUUAAACACAAGUUUUAAGUUUGAAAGAUGCAAUUGCAUCACUCAAAGAUGAUCCCGCGUUGUAUUAGCUAGUUGGUGAGGUAAAGGCUCACCAAGGCGAUGAUACAUAGCCGACCUGAGAGGGUGAUCGGCCACAUUGGGACUGAGACACGGCCCAAACUCCUACGGGAGGCAGCAGUAGGGAAUCUUCGGCAAUGGACGAAAGUCUGACCGAGCAACGCCGCGUGAGUGAAGAAGGUUUUCGGAUCGUAAAACUCUGUUGGUAGAGAAGAACGUUGGUGAGAGUGGAAAGCUCAUCAAGUGACGUAACUACCCA
Molecule: ribosomal RNA, 473 nt
Filed under: Lactococcus lactis
Lineage: Bacteria; Bacillati; Bacillota; Bacilli; Lactobacillales; Streptococcaceae
Description: bacterial SSU rRNA
Rfam family: Bacterial small subunit ribosomal RNA
Source: RNAcentral